GACGAACGCUGGCGGCGUGCUUAACACAUGCAAGUCGAACGGAAAGGCCCUGCUUUUGUGGGUUGCUCGAGUGGCGAACGGGUGAGUAACACGUGAGUAACCUGCCCCUGACUUUGGGAUAACGUCAACAAACUGGGGCUAAUACCGGAUACUAGCUCCUGCUGCUUGGUGGGGGUUGGAAAGUUUCGGCGGUUGGGGAUGGACUGGCGGCUUAGCAGCUUGUUGGUGGGGUAGUGGCUUACCAAGGCUUUGACGGGUAGCCGGCCGGAGAGGGUGACCGGCAACAUGGGGAAUGAGAUACGGCCAGGACCCCUAGGGGAGGAAGAGGUGGGGAAUAUUGCACAAUGGGGGGAAGCCGGAUGCAGCAACGCCGCGUGCGGGAUGACGGCCUUCGGGUUGUAAACCGCUUUAGCAGGUGACGAAGCGUGAGUGACGGUAAUGGGUAAAGAAGCACCGGCUAACUACGUG
RNAcentral lists this ribosomal RNA (468 nucleotides) under uncultured bacterium. RNAcentral describes it as "partial 16S ribosomal RNA". It matches the Rfam family "Bacterial small subunit ribosomal RNA", at positions 28 to 507 of the family's 1533-position model. The record is from RNAcentral.